GCUUGUUUUGGCAAUACAUAUAUAAAACAGGAAUGAUGCAGAGAAGAUUAGCAUGACUUCAGCAACAGGGAUGACCUUCAUCAAUUUUAAUGGUGUUGCGUAGUU
This 105-nucleotide small nuclear RNA is filed under the name Stegodyphus mimosarum. The record is from RNAcentral. Lineage: Eukaryota; Metazoa; Arthropoda; Arachnida; Araneae; Eresidae.